GAUGAACGCUGACAGAAUGCUUAACACAUGCAAGUCUUUGGCGAAUCUGUGCUUGCACAGGCUAGCCAAGGCGGACGGGUGAGUAACGCGUAAAGAACUUGCCCUGCAGACAGGGAUAACAGACGGAAACGACUGAUAACACCUGAUACAGUUGCCGGCACGCAUGUGCCUGGCAAUGAAAAGAGAUGCUGCAGGAGAGCUUUGCGUCCUAUUAGCUUGUUGGUGAGGUGACGGCUCACCAAGGCGAUGAUAGGUAGCCGGCCUGAGAGGGUGAACGGCCACAAGGGGACUGAGAUACGGCCCUUACUCCUACGGGAGGCAGCAGUGGGGAAUAUUGGACAAUGGGGGCAACCCUGAUACAGCAAUUCUGUGUGCACGAAGAAGGUUUUCGGAUUGUAAAGUGCUUUCAGCAGGGAAGAAGAAAGUGACGGUACCUGCAGAAGAAGCGACGGCUAAAUACGUG
RNAcentral lists this ribosomal RNA (463 nucleotides) under uncultured bacterium. RNAcentral describes it as "partial 16S ribosomal RNA". It matches the Rfam family "Bacterial small subunit ribosomal RNA", at positions 28 to 507 of the family's 1533-position model. The record is from RNAcentral.